Long non-coding RNA from Etheostoma cragini (Arkansas darter), 101 nucleotides. RefSeq lists it as uncharacterized. The record is from RefSeq and is a predicted model, not a curated record. The transcript is spliced from 3 exons. NCBI's taxonomy places the organism in Eukaryota, Metazoa, Chordata, Actinopteri, Perciformes, Percidae.
UCCUAAGGGCAGAAAUAAGAGCUUUGAGACAGGCUUCACCAAGGAGGGACAGAACAAUUCCCGGUUCAGCCGAGGACCGAGGAGUAGCGUUGGGUACCAAA